AUGUCUUCUUCAAGGUCCCGCGCCACUUCGCCGAUGCAGAGCCCGGCGCGCGUGGAGAUGCCGAUCUUCGUCUGUGCGCGGUGUCGGGCGGGCGUUGAUCGGAGGGUUUCUCACACUCCGAAGAACCAUAAUCGUCCGUUCUACAUGUGCGGUGAGAAUGGGGUGAAAUGUUUCUUUCUUUGGGUUGAUGUUCUGGCCAAGACUCUGAUGAAUGAACUGCAAGAAGAGCAUGAAGAAUAGUUGCCCCUGCCUCGAACGGCAGUGGCCGCAUCACGAGCUCCAGAAGAAGAGACGGAGGGCGAAGCAUGCAAUUACAGAGAGCUAGCUGUUGAGCUUAGGAUGUUGAAGAAGAAGGUUAGGAAGAUUGAAGAUCAAGCAGAAAUACCCAUUUGCAAUUACUUUUGGGCAUUUGUUGGUAUGGUAAUCACACUGGGUGUAAUGUUGGAAUUGUAUGGAAAGGCAUGA
This 465-nucleotide ribosomal RNA is filed under the name Triticum aestivum (bread wheat). Its description in RNAcentral is "partial small subunit ribosomal RNA". The record is from RNAcentral. Lineage: Eukaryota; Viridiplantae; Streptophyta; Magnoliopsida; Poales; Poaceae.